UUUUUUUCUGCUGACAAAUGGCCCUUAUUGGAGCCAUUUUCUAUGCAAACACAAUAACAUUACUAAUAUCCAGCUGGGAUAAAAGCUCAAUUUUGUUUGGUUCUAGUUCAUUUUAUUCAAAUACUUAUAUUCUUAAAAAGAAAGAAAUAAUAUAAUAAUUGAAUUUGGACAUUAAAAUCUACUUGCUUCUUAAAUGACAUGAAAAGGACACAAUUUGAAAUUUCAUAAAAAGUAAUGUUUUUAAAAUGAUCACACUACUUUGUUUUAGAUAAAAGGGUUAAAGUUUCCGUGAUUAACCAUUAUUACCGCAUUGACUCAAGUCUCCGAUUUCCUAUUUCUGCUUCUCACAAACCCGAGCAACAGAUUUCUCUGAACAUAGUUAAAAGAAAUAAUUUGUGGAAACCUACAAGUCACAUCACACUCACUAGGUAGUAAUAUUUUUACAUAUUUUAAAAAUAUGUAAGUUUGAUUUAUUUGCAACAAGUAGAGAAUUCUCUUCUUAUGUAUAAUGUUAUUUUUCAAUGCCUUUCCUGAUACUAAUGAACAUUUUUAAAAUAUGGAAAAUUCAGCAUGACAAAUAAUUAUCAUAACUGGUUUAUUUCAACAUAAGUUAGAUAGCCUAUUUGUUAAAAUAGUCAGGUGUUCUUCAAUCAAAUUUAAAUAUCAAUUCAUUAUUUUUAUAGUUUAUAAUUAUAAUCUGCAUGACUGCAGUAAUUUGCUUGUAUGCUAAUAACACCAGGAAUUUCCUUACUCUUUUUGUUCUUUCACAGUAAUUUUCCUGAGUCAUGGUAUUUCAUUUAAUUUUUCUUAAAUUCCAAAUGUAAGAGACUGGACUCAGGAUGUAUUUCAUAAAGUUCGCAAUCUCUGGAAUUUUUUCUGCUCAAUAACUCAACAAGAGACAUUAACGAUUUUCAAGACAAAGAUGUUGUUAUGAGGCUAAUUGUAAGCUUUUAGUUUUUCCUUCUCCUUUUCUCUCAUUUUUCACUAUCUGUAGAUAAAAUUCUUCCUCUUUCACACAAAGAACAAAGCAUGUGACUUAUAGGUGUUAAUAUGUCCCACUAAAUCCCACGGAGAUCUAAUAUGAUAGAUAUUCUGAUUAUUAUAAUUUUACAAGUGUUCGCCCUGAGACUGGGUUGCUUCCAAUAUACCAUUUUUUAAAAUAUUUACUCAUGAAAGACACAGAGAGAGAGAGAGAGAGAGAGAGAGAGAGAGAGAGGCAGAUACACCGGCAGAGGGAGAAGCAGGCUCCAUGCAGGCAGCCCGAUGUGAGACUCUCUCCGGGGACUCCAGGAUCACACCCCAGGCUGAAGGCAGGUGCUAAACUGCUGAGCCACCUAGGCAACCCCUCCAAUAUACCAUUUUGAAGUAUGAGUUGGGAUUCAUAUUCAUACUUUCUGAUAACAAAUGUCAUAUCAUUCCACACAUCCAGACUGCCUCUUUUAAUGCAUCAAGAAGACAAGCUAUGAACCUAGCAUAGAAACAAUAUCAAAUGUAAUUAUAGAUUUAAACUAUUUGAAUUUGCAUUCAUUUUGUCUGAAAACAAAUUCUAGAUGUUCCAUUUUUGGAAAAUUGUAUUUUAUUUUGAAAUACACAUUUAUAUUUUUAUAAAUUAAUAUUCACUGUUUUAUAUAUCGUAAGUGUAUUUAAAUAAAACAUCUGGAAAUUAAACUAUUUUAGUUAGCUAUGGUUAUUCAUUAGAGAAAGAAUCAUUUAAGAAGAAGCCUCUUCUCCAGUUAUAAUAUGACACUGAAUUUUUACUUCAUCAAUUGUUAGAUUUUUAUCAAUUUACAAAAGGGGUAACAUGCAAAUAUGGUAAUAAGGCCUUUUUCUCAAAUGCUUUAUAAGGUAUCAAGUAUGUCAAUCACCCAAACAAUCCGACAUCUUCAAUGAAUUAUUAUUUAAACAGGUCAAAUUAGGAGAGGCUUAGAUAAGAAGCACAAGUAAGCAAAAAAAGUUUUCACAAAAUAUUGAAAAUGUGAAGGCUGAGAAUAAUAUUUCUAAGGAAGAAAUGUAAUUAUAUUUUACAGAUAUGAAUAUUGUCAAUGAGAUUAUAAAAUCAAGGCAUUAUAGCUUUUACAAUCAAUUAUUUACUUUUAUUUAAUUAUUUCCUUUUAUAUAAUUAUUACUAGGAUUGUUAAUAUUAAGAAUUAAUUAUUGCUUGGGAAAAAAAUCUGUACUGUUCUCUUUGCUUUUUCUUUUCCCACUUCCUCUCAAAUGUACUCAAACCAGGUGUUUAUUUCCUCCAUACCUAUCAUUCCACUUAGAAAAUCUUGACAAAAUAACAGUGAAAUCAAAAUAAAGUCAAUACUAAGCUUUCAUCUUAGCAGAUUUAAGCAGGCUUUGCUAUGGCUAUUCACUUCCUUUAUUAAAAAUUAUUUUUAUAAUGCAUCUGAAUCACCAUUCUUAUGUUUGUCUUUCAUUUUCUGUAAUUACUCCUUCUCAAACUCUUUUCUAUUUCUCCUCCUCUCUAUAACCUAUAUUUUAGUCUAUAUAAUUUUUCCUUACCCUGUCUUCUUUUAAAUUAUUAGCAUGAAACACCAGUGAAGACUCCCAAUUUUUAAAUCGCUAGCCAACUCCACUUUCUUAAACUCCAGACUCAUAUGUCCAACUGCCUAUUUUACAUCUUUACUUAUAUAUUAAAUAGGAUUCCAUAUUUUCUGAAAAUAAACCCUAAUCUCCCCCAUUUGAAAUCUGCCACUUUCUCAAUCUCAAUAAGAAGAAACUCCAUCUUUCUGGUUGCUUUGACAAGCCCCACCUUUCAGUUACACAGGCACAAAGCACUGGUGAUAUCUAUACUUUGUGUUUUCUUUCAUGUCAUAUGUCAACCAUCAACCAAUACCUAAAAUGUAAAUUAAAUCAUGACAUUUGUCAGUUCAAAAUCCUCUAACAUAUUCUUACCUCAUAGAAAGUAAAAGCUAAAUUCCUUAAAAUGACUCGUGUUGACUAAUUUUUCUUUCCCACCAGAUCUGAUUUUAUUUUUUACCUUCCCCAUCCUCACCAAACAAUAACAGCAAGAAAAUAAAUUUUUUUAAUGAAAUUAUUCAGGAGGCAACCAACUGUUCUUGGCAGUAAGAGGGAUAUUUGCCACUCCCUGAGACAUGGUAGGUAACAUGCCCAACUCAUUACUGUGAUUUGAGUAUAACUGACUCUUGUUAUGCCCCCCAAUACAAAUUGAUAGUGUAGGAGCCCAGGGAAGUUUCCCCAAGAUGGGUCACUUUGGCAUAAAGAUUAUUUUGUGUUAGAAGUAAUCAAAACCCAGAAGAUGUAGGAAAAGCUCACAGCACUCCCCUCAACUACCUAAACUUUGGAAAGGACAGCCCUUACCAGGAAAGAGCUAUUAACAAGACUCUCCUUUACCUAAGAACUUACCUGCAUAAUAAUUUUUUUUGUUUUUCCAAACAUCUUUUGACCUUCUUGCUAAUGACUUUUUCCCCUUUGUGUCCUCAAGUCCCUACCCCCUCCUUAGCUCAUAUAAGCUUCAUCUUACCUCAUUGUUUUUGAAAUUUCAUGUCUGUGUGAAUUCCCUGUACAUAUGGCUAUUAAAUUUUGUUUUCUCCUGUUAAUCUAUCUCAUGUCAAUUUGAUUCUAUGUCUGGCCAGAAGGACCAUAGGGCAGAGGAAGAUCUUCCUCCCUGAUAACAGCAAACACAAAAGGCAAUUCAAUACAGGUAAUUUUAAAAAGAAAAAUGACAUUCAGGUAUACAGUUGUCUGGUGAAACUCAAUACAAAGAUAAAUUUUGGAACACUUAAGUUAAACAUUUUCAAACAACUAAGAUAAAUGUUAUAUAGUAGAUAUUUUUUGUGUUAUCUCUUUGAAGAUGUUUUGUUUUAAUAAUGGUAUAAAAUUAACACAUACUUAUACUAAUGCAGGUUGAGAGGGCUAUUUUCAAAACAUAUACAGAGAUUUAAAAAACUAUUACAUUAAUUCAAUUUUCACAAAAAAUAAGAUCAUGAAUUUAAUUUAAAUUAAAAUAUAUAACAUGACAUAGACUAUUCUGAAAUAUGAUUAUAGUUUAACAAUUAUUACAAAUUUAAUAUCAUAGCAAUUAUUGAAAUAGUAAAGAAAGCAAAAUUUAGUAUAGUUUUAAUUUUUGCUUUCUUUAAUUUGACUUUACAUAGAACACAGAAAUAAUUCUUUUCAUUAAACCUUAGGUAUUCUUAAAAAUAUUUCUCACACAUCUUCAUCUUUAUUCUUUGAAAAUCCUCAGGUAGAAAAAAAUAGAUGUUUCUGGAAAAAGUAUGUGACUUACUUUUUUUACUGUAAUAUUUACAAACCAAUUUAAGUUCUAUAUGUAUAAUAUGCAUUUCAAAAAUUUCUUGUAAGAUUAUGCUUAUCCUCAUUUAUCAUACAACUAAAUAUUAGGAAAAUAUUAAGUGUAUUGCUUCUUUUCAACACAAUUUACAGGGAAAAAUUGUCAAAACUGUACACUCUAAUUUCCCUUCCAAUUUCAAAGGAUAUUAACAAAUGCUCUGCUUUAAAAUUAUUCUCUUUAAUUUUAUAAAUUCACUUAAAUUUUAAAGCAGCAAAACACAAUAAUUUGAAUAUUUACCUAUAACUUAAGACUUUGUGAUUCUUAUAAAUCAGUACCCAUAAGAAUGUUUCUGUCUUAUGUUAAUUGCCUUUGCUCUUCUUUCUAUACCCAUUAUUUAUUUGAACAGCUAAAUUCUUCUUCCUUUCUAAUUGUUUGGUUCCUAGACAUGGGUAAAAUUGUUUAUAUAUAUAUAUAUAUAUAUAUAUAUAUAUAUAUAUAUAUAAUGAUAGUCACACAGAGAGAGAGAGAGAGAGAGAGGCAGAGACAUAGGCAGAGGGAGAAGCAGGCUCCAUGCAGGGAGCCCAACGUGGGAUUCGAUCCGGGUCUCCAGGAUUGCGCCCUGGGCCAAAGGCAGGCGCUAAACCGCUGCGCCACCCAGGGAUCCCGUAAAAUUGUUAAUAAAUCAAAAAAAUGUAAUAGCAAUGGAAAUGUAAGACUAAUAAUAAAAUAAAUAUUAGUUAAGGUAUUCCACCACAGUUUUUAUCCUGCUUGGCAUACCUCUGGGAGGUCGAGUCCUUCAAAAAAAUGAAACAUCUGUCAAAUAAUUUCUUUUGACUAUUUUACACCUAAUAGAUAAUUUGAUAUUUUUGGCCGAACCAUUCUAGGGUUUUAUGUAUUAUAUACAAUAAUUUAAUAUGUUUGUGGAGCUUACUAGUGUGUGCAGACAUAUCCCUCCAAUAAAUUGAAUUAUAGGGUUAUCUAAAAAAAGUUACUUUUAUUCCAAGAUUAAGGUUAGAGUAAGAAGGCUCACACAUUAACUGAAGAAAUUUGUUGUAGGAUUCAGUGUGUUUUCAAAAAAAAAAAAAAUGACUGUAUAGUGAUUACACCUCAGUAGCAGAUGCUGUUAAUGUCCCAAUCCAUAAACUCUAAAUCCAUCUACAUUCACAGAGGACAGCUCCUGUGUUCAUUGACAUUUUCCAUCCCCUGGGAUAUGCAUUGCAUCGCUGCUUCUCUGCCUCAAGGUUUUCUCUGGCACCAGGGAAGCUUUUUUAGCCAAAGCAGGGCAACCCAAAAUGGCCCCGGGAUUUAACACUCAGCCACAUCAGUCAACACUCAUCCAAGGAGAUCAAUGAAUGACACAUUUAACCAAGUUUCCUAUCUUUUUGGUGUGAUAAUUAUGAGGUAUAUUCUCAGUGGUGCAUAAUAGAGUUCCAGCCACUUGUAUCUGUUGACCUGCUCAUAACUGUGCCUUUUCUGGACUUUUCUGCCUUCUAUGUUUUGCUUUCCUCAUCUCUCUUGUGUUUCCGGGGAUCAUCUCCUUCAUGAACUAUGAACACCGUAGUUUCCUUUCUUAUCAGGGUAUGCUUGAGGCAUCCAAACAGAAAUGACCUCCAGAUA
RNAcentral lists this long non-coding RNA (5869 nucleotides) under Canis lupus familiaris (dog). Its description in RNAcentral is "lncRNA (ENSCAFG00000051747.1)". Lineage: Eukaryota; Metazoa; Chordata; Mammalia; Carnivora; Canidae. The record is from RNAcentral.